UGGGACAACAUUGGAAACGAAUGCUAAUACCGGAUAUUAUGACUGAGUCGCAUGAUUUGGUUAUGAGAGCUGUAUGCGCUGUGAGAGAGCUUUGCGUCCCAUUAGUUAGUUGGUGAGGUAACGGCUCACCAAGACGAUGAUGGGUAACCGGCCUGAGAGGGUGAACGGCCACAAGGGGACUGAGACACGGCCCUUACUCCUACGGGAGGCAGCAGUGGGGAAUAUUGGACAAUGGACCAAAGUCUGAUCCAGCAAUUCUGUGUGCACGAUGAAGUUUUUCGGAAUGUAAAGUGCUUUCAGUUGGGAAGAAGUCAGUGACGGUACCAACAGAAGAAGCGACGGCUAAAUACGUGCCAGCAGCCGCGGUAAUACGUAUGUCGCAAGCGUUAUCCGGAUUUAUUGGGCGUAAAGCGCGUCUAGGCGGUUUAGUAAGUCUGAUGUGAAAAUGCGGGGCUCAACCCCGUAUUGCGUUGGAAACUGCUUAAACUAGAGUACUGGAGAGGUAGGCGGAACUACAAGUGUAGAGGUGAAAUUCGUAGAUAUUUGUAGGAAUGCCGAUGGGGAAGCCAGCCUACUGGACAGAUACUGACGCUAAAGCGCGAAAGCGUGGGUAGCAAACAGGAUUAGAUACCCUGGUAGUCCACGCCGUAAACGAUGAUUACUAGGUGUUGGGGGUCGAACCUCAGCGCCCAAGCUAACGCGAUAAGUAAUCCGCCUGGGGAGUACGUACGCAAGUAUGG
RNAcentral lists this ribosomal RNA (740 nucleotides) under uncultured Fusobacteriota bacterium. RNAcentral describes it as "bacterial SSU rRNA". It matches the Rfam family "Bacterial small subunit ribosomal RNA", at positions 139 to 897 of the family's 1533-position model. Lineage: Bacteria; Fusobacteriati; Fusobacteriota. The record is from RNAcentral.